This 217-nucleotide unclassified non-coding RNA is filed under the name soil metagenome. RNAcentral describes it as "partial contains 5.8S ribosomal RNA, internal transcribed spacer 2, and large subunit ribosomal RNA". The record is from RNAcentral.
AACAUCGCGCACCUGCGGGAACCUGCGGAAGGAUCAUUACAGAGUUCAUGCCCUCACGGGUAGAUCUCCCACCCUUGAAUACUAUACCUUUGUUGCUUUGGCGGGCCGCUUUGGCUACUGGCUCUGGCUAGUAAGUGCCCGCCAAAGAACCCCAAAACUCUGAAUAUUAGUGUCGUCUGAGUACUAUAUAAUAGUUAAAACUUUUAACAACGGAUCU